UGCGGGAAACUGUAGCUAAUACCGGAUAUGAGGCUCUGAGGCAUCUCAGAGCUUGGAAAGAAUUUCGGUGAAGGAUGGGCUCGCGGCCUAUCAGCUUGUUGGUGAGGUAAAGGCUCACCAAGGCGACGACGGGUAGCCGGCCUGAGAGGGUGACCGGCCACACUGGAACUGAGACACGGUCCAGACUCCUACGGGAGGCAGCAGUGGGGAAUAUUGCACAAUGGGCGCAAGCCUGAUGCAGCAACGCCGCGUGAGGGAUGAAGGCCUUCGGGUUGUAAACCUCUUUUAGCAGGGAAGAAGCGAAAGUGACGGUACCUGCAGAAAAAGCACCGGCUAACUACGUGCCAGCAGCCGCGGUAAUACGUAGGGUGCAAGCGUUGUCCGGAAUUAUUGGGCGUAAAGAGCUCGUAGGCGGUUUGUCGCGUCUGCUGUGAAAACCAGAAGCUCAACUUCUGGCCUGCAGUGGGUACGGGCAAACUAGAGUGCGGUAGGGGAGAACGGAAUUCCUGGUGUAGCGGUGGAAUGCGCAGAUAUCAGGAGGAACACCGAUGGCGAAGGCAGUUCUCUGGGCCGUUACUGACGCUGAGGAGCGAAAGCGUGGGGAGCGAACAGGAUUAGAUACCCUGGUAGUCCACGCCGUAAACGGUGGGUGCUAGCUGUGGGCCACAUUCCACGUGGUCCGUGACGAAGUUAACACAUUAAGCACCCCGCCUGGGGAGUACGGCCGCAAGGCUAAAACUCAAAGGAAUUGACGGGGGCCCGCACAAGCGGCGGAGCAUGCGGAUUAAUUCGAUGCAACGCGAAGAACCUUACCAAGGCUUGACAUAUAGAGGAAAAGUACAGAAAUGUACUCCCCGUAAGGUCUCUAUACAGGUGGUGCAUGGUUGUCGUCAGCUCGUGUCGUGAGAU
Molecule: ribosomal RNA, 909 nt
Filed under: marine metagenome
Description: bacterial SSU rRNA
Rfam family: Bacterial small subunit ribosomal RNA
Source: RNAcentral